UUCCUUCUCUAACAGGGGAAAGUAUAAACCCCAGGGGAUCCAGGCUCUGAAGGAAAGGUUUAUCCAGAAGGCUGGUAGAGUCAAAGCCUGAGAGAGGUAGAGUAGGGAAAGGCUUAGGAAAAUGACCGGCUGCUGAUUAGAGGGUCCCUUAGCUGGAACCCAGAGUAGAGGGAGGCUACCAGCCACUGGGAAAGUGGCACAGUUUGGGCAGUGGGGGAGAAGACUGCCAUUUUGGAUGGAAAGACUUUGAUAACUCCUGCAAGGGGAAAACAUACAGUGAGCUGACCAGAGGGCCAAGCUACAAAGAGAGAGUGCUGAGUUGCUGAGAGAGAAGCAGCGGGACACACAAACAAGUGACAGAAGCUGGUGUCCAACCUGGAAGGAGCUAAUCCCCGGAUUAGCCAGAAGGAGCCAUCCCAGUGCUGGAAAUGCCUUGAUAGAAGAAUCUGAUUCCUGGCACAUAUUAGGAUUGACAUGGACACUAAUCCUACAGUGACAUGCAUCUGGAUAUACUCUUGCAUCUGCACAGGAUGCCAUUGCAGUAACUGGAGGAUCAAAGCCUUUUUCAGCUACUUCUAAACGUCUGUUCUUCUGGUCAAUCAACUGCGGACAUGACUGACAACUUGUAGUGGCUGACAAAUAUCACAUUUCUGAUGUACUGCCAUGAAAUAGAAAAUACAUACUCAAACCACAGGAGGUGACAUGUACUAAAAGUCAGGAUGCUAAUCCAUUUACAAGGAUGUGACAUGAGAUCAGGAAAAUAGCUGUGACUGGCACUCAACAUAUCCUACCCUGUGUAUGAACAGAACACACGCACGUAAUUGUUUAUGUAAACAACAUUUUGGAAGGGCAAUUUCAUUUUUUUUUUAAAAAUUAAAACUACCGAAUGUAUCACCGUUUAGGUGCUGUUCACACUUUCAUGCUUGUUUUAUAUCUUGCUCUGUUUUACUUUCCUCUGUCUUAAAUUAAAGCGUCUUGCCCACUAUUUGCUUUAUCCACCCUUUCUGCUAUAGUGCCCUCACUACCAAAAGUUCCUUUUAUUUCCCCUCUCAUGCCCAACAAGUUGCUUUCAGACAAGUAGUAUAGUGGCAGUGUGAGGAGUGUGGGAAACUGUACCUUUGAGGAGGCUCUGGUGAGAGCUAGUUGAAAUCGAUUGUUAUGCAGAGGCUCACGUCAUGCCAUGCUGCUCAGUUAGACUCUGAACGAAGCAGACCGUUGUCAGACUCCUUUGCUCUGAGUGAUCAGUGAACACCACCAAGAGGACAGGACAACAGAAGAUGGAGGGAGAUAAAGUAGGGCAACCCCCAGCGGUUGAAGAUAGUGGUGUUGUGGGAGGGAGAAAUCCAAGUGAAAGGGUAGGUGGGGGAGACUCAAAUGAGGUGGAGGCAGAUAAACAGCUGCAGUAAAAACAGCUCCCUCCCUCAAUGACAGAGCACAAGGUCCUUGUGCCUGCUUCACCUCUGUCUGCUGCAGCUGAGUCAUAGGAGUGCAGAGUUUCCCUGUCUAGUGAGGGCAAAGGCAGUCAAGUGGGCUGACAGGUCCUUUCAGCCUGAGCAGCAGGCUAAGACAGGGAGCAGCCAUUCUUAGCUGAGUGAGGAUGGAUGAAGACUAAUAAAAGAACAAAGGAAGAAGGCCUUCCUUUCUUCAGCUUUCUGGUACCUUCCUUUCUCUUUUCCCCCAGCUCUGCGUAGUUUAUUCCUGAGCCUACAAUUCAGUGGGGGGGGAGAGGAAUAGGCUUGACCGCUCUGUCACUGAAGUUGCACCAACCUAUGUCAGCAGUGAAUUUGGCCCCUAGAACUGAAAGCAAGUUUAGGUUAGUAACGGGUGAUGCUUAAAACUUUUAGCAUUUCCAUUCUAAUAAACACUCAUGCUUUUGGGUGCUUAUUCAAGCUAUCUGAAACUCUGGGAUAAAAUCGUGGCCUCACUGAAGUCAAAGGUAGAAUUCCCAGGAGUUCACCCUUUGAGUCUGCAAAAUCAGAGAGGAAAACUUGCAAAAACAGACACUCCCACAAGAUUUCUAACAUUAUCUGCUUCUAGUCUAACCAUAAAUAACAUGAGAUUUUUCUCGUGGUAUUUUAGCAAUUCAGCUUCUGGUUCUAGUGGACAAUUAUUUUUGUUCAGAACAAUUAUAUUAUCUGUCUUAGUUUGCUCAUCCCUAGUUCAGAUGCAAUUUUUAAAAUUAUUAUUAUUUUAUUUUAUUUUAUUUUAUUAUUUGAUCACUG
Long non-coding RNA from Mauremys reevesii (Reeves's turtle), 2222 nucleotides. RefSeq lists it as uncharacterized. The record is from RefSeq and is a predicted model, not a curated record. Lineage: Eukaryota; Metazoa; Chordata; Testudines; Geoemydidae. The transcript has 4 exons.